Molecule: ribosomal RNA, 524 nt
Filed under: uncultured bacterium
Lineage: Bacteria
Description: bacterial SSU rRNA
Rfam family: Bacterial small subunit ribosomal RNA
Source: RNAcentral
UGGGGAAUAUUGGACAAUGGGGGGAACCCUGAUCCAGCGACGCCGCGUGAGUGAAGAAGUAUUUCGGUAUGUAAAGCUCUAUCAGCAGGGAAGAAAAUGACGGUACCUGACUAAGAAGCCCCGGCUAACUACGUGCCAGCAGCCGCGGUAAUACGUAGGGGGCAAGCGUUAUCCGGAUUUACUGGGUGUAAAGGGAGCGCAGACGGCUUGGCAAGUCUGAAGUGAAAGCCCGGGGCUUAACCCCGGGACUGCUUUGGAAACUGUGAAGCUAGAGUGUCGGAGAGGUAAGUGGAAUUCCCAGUGUAGCGGUGAAAUGCGUAGAUAUUGGGAGGAACACCGGUGGCGAAGGCGGCUUACUGGACGAUAACUGACGUUAAGGCUCGAAGGCGUGGGGAGCAAACAGGAUUAGAUACCCUGGUAGUCCACGCGGUAAACGAUGAAUACUAGGUGUCGGGGGACAUAGUCUUUCGGUGCCGCCGCUAACGCAUUAAGUAUUCCACCUGGGGAGUACGUUCGCAAGAAUG